UAGGAGAAUAGCUCAACGGUAGAGCUUUGGUUUUCAAAACCAAUGGUUGGAGGUUCAAAUCCUUCUUCUCCUGA
Molecule: transfer RNA, 74 nt
Filed under: Gloiopeltis furcata
Lineage: Eukaryota; Rhodophyta; Florideophyceae; Gigartinales; Endocladiaceae
Description: tRNA-Sec
Rfam family: tRNA
About the family: Transfer RNA (tRNA) molecules are approximately 80 nucleotides in length.
Source: RNAcentral